This is a long non-coding RNA of Acinonyx jubatus (cheetah), 3721 nucleotides long. RefSeq lists it as uncharacterized. The transcript is spliced from 4 exons. The record is from RefSeq and is a predicted model, not a curated record. Lineage: Eukaryota; Metazoa; Chordata; Mammalia; Carnivora; Felidae.
AAAAAAGACCCUUAAAAAAAAUUGGCCUCUGUGUUUUCACAUUGUGUGUUUAGUGUUCUGCAUAGUUGAAUUUGAAAACAAAGGUCAGAAGCAUUCUUCCUGACUAACUGUAGAAGUUUCAAAAGAACAGGCUCUGGCUAAUACUAAGAAGUUACAGAAAUAGACUGUUUGGUCACUGGCCGCUUAAAAUGGAAAAGCCAAAGUUUUUCCGAGAGGAAACAAAAGGACGUGAGGAGUCUAGACUCUGACCACUCUAACGGUGUGUGUGUGACUGAGUGGGACUGGAAGUUUUGGGGGGCUUGCUCAGCACUCUCUAAAUCCGGUAAGCAUUUGGGGGUGCCAAUGAGCAGGAUCUUUAGCUGCACAGCUGUUUUUUUCCUUUUUUUUUUUUUUUUAAAUUUUGAGAGAGAGAGAAUACGUGCAUGGGGGAGGCGCAGAGAGAGAGAGAGAGAGAGAGAGAGAGAGAAUCUGAAGCAGGCUCUGAGCUUUCAGCAAGGAGCCCAAUGCAGGGCUCAAACUCACGCUGUGAGAUCAAGACCUGAUCCAAGGUCGGGAGGUCGGUCGCUUAACCGACUGAGCCAACCAGUCACAUCUCUGAACGAAGGCAGUUCUCGGUGGCGAGAGGGUGUGCCUGGGGCAGCCAGCCGGCUCCGUGGGAUCCUGCCCCUGUGGAAACAGUAUGAGUGUGUGAUCCCAGAGAGGGUGUGUGUCCCUGGGCCUGGCAUUCUGUGUUACCAGGCAACCCAAUGUGUCUGGGUGUGUCCCCUCAGCGCUCACUCUCCUGCUAAAGUCUCCGGGCACAGCCUGCUUGGAGGGUGUCUGAGCUGUGACCAUCCCCACCUGAUCAGGUCUGUGACAGCCCCCGUGUCUAGCCUCGGUGAAUACAUGCACAAAAACACGAGGGGUGCGUGGCUCAGGUUCUCACAGACUGCUACCUCUGGAUAUUGUAGCUGAAACUAGAAGUUUCCAUUUGGCCGUGUGUAUGUGUGUGUGUGUGUGUGUGUGUGUGUGUGUGUGUGUGUAGACCCCUCUGUGUCUGAGUGUUGGACUAUGUAAGGCUCUAGAAGGACCCUGCGUGUGGCUGAGGGUUGAGAGCUCCUCCAGGAGCUGUUGUCCCUCUCUGGGGACUGGCCUUGGGCAUCAGGGGAAUUCUGCAACAGUGAUGGCACCUGACAGUCUUUUCACUGUCCUUGCAGGAAUCUUUUGAACUCAGUAUUUGGAACCAGCCCCAAGUCUCUUGGUACCGUGGGCAGCGAUCCCUCUAGGCAAAACUGAAAUGUCUGGAAAAGUAACAAGGCAGACCUAUGAGUGCCUAAAACUGGUCCUUAAAGGAAUUUUUCAGAAAGAAAAAAAAAAGGGAUUUAAAAAUAUUUUGAACAAAGAAAGAGACAUCUUUGAAAUAAUCAAAGCACUUUCUAGGUUGAUUCCUUUAGAGUUCUGUUCUAUUUUGAUUCUUAAGAGGUCUAUUUUAAUAUUAAGGAGGUAAAAAAAAAAAAAAAGAGUUCAGAACAGGAGAUGAUUUGCUCCUGCCUCACAGGGAGGUGGAGACAGUGUUGGGACAAGAACCUGAUCCUAGGGUUCACCCCCCCCCCCCCCCAGGGUUUUCCCAGCCUGUUUCUGUUUCUGUUUACUUCUGUGUGUGUCUCUGGGCGUGUCCCCCUCUGGGUUGUGCACAAGCAGGCUCUAGGUGUGUCCCAGCUCAGAGCAGCUCCGCCAGCGGGGUGUUUCUCCCCUGCAGGGAAAUUCCAGGGGGCAGUGCCGGCCUCAGCUGCGCUCAGCCUCGCCCCGCAGCCAUACAGCUGGCCAGUUUCCCCGAGCACAACUGCUCCUCCAGACAAGGUAGAGGGCGGAAUGUGUAAGCUUUUCUCCUGGAGAGGGCACCCCCCCCCCCCGCCGUGUCUUCUGGCCCUGUGGAAUUAGGAGGUACAGAGGAAUGGAAGAAACCCACCACCCUAACUCACAUUCGGAACCUGGGGCCCCCAUGUGCUCGCACUCCACUGACGCCACCCCCAGAAAGGAUCAUGGAGAGGAGGCCACGUGCUCAGCUGAGAUGGGAACCGACCUAGUCCCGGUUCACUGGCUGGUGGAAACUCAGGCAAGAGAAGGAAUGAUUAAGGGAACAUGCAGGAGGAACAGCAAUGAGACAUCAUCCUAAUUCCGGUGAGGCCACCUCAUUCUGGUUUCUGCUCAGAUGUCCCUUUCCUGACCACACCAGCCCCCACCUCUCCCUCCCUGCCUCUCACCUGCUUCCUUUUCUGCUGGUGUACCCGGCCAUCUGAUGAUGGCAUGUACACCUUUGUUUAAUGGAAGAUCCAGGAGAGCGGGGCUCGGCUUUGUUCACUGCCUGUCCCCAGCAGUGAAGUUGGCUGCAUUAACUGAACACUUGCUCUGUGCCAGGCACUGUAUCAUGUGCUUUGAAUGCGUUAAGUAAUCUUAGCCUUACUGUGGUCCUGUGAGGGUUUUUACCCAAGUAGAAAAAUGAAGCCCAGAGAAGUUAAGAAUCUUGCCCAAGGACAUAGGAUUUGACCCUGGCCCUCUGUGCUCCUACACAUGCCCUGGAUCGCCAACCAUAGUGACUUGGCCCUUUCCUCCACCCUCGCACAGCCUCUGCUGGGGGGACUACCCCGCUCCUUCUGCCCUUGCUGAAUUCCCUGUGCCAGUCUCAGGAAUGCUGAACCAAACCCCUAGACCCUGAGCACCCCCAACCAGCCUGGCCUUUGGACAAGGAGAAGAGGAGCAUUCAUACUGAAGGGAUCCAGAAUCUCUCACUUUUAAUUUGCAUGUUCCCAAGAACUGAACCUAAGAGCGUACAGAAAAAAGUCUUCCUCCCAAACAAUGCCAAGUUCAACCUGGAAGGAGAAACACCGGUGGUGCGAUUUUUUCAGAUGGAAGGGGACCCGCUGACCCUGACCAUUUGUUGGCAGUCAGGAUGGAUUUGUGCUAAUUUUUCUGCUAUCUGAUCACUGUACAUCCAAGGUCACUAUGAUCUCUGCAACUGAGUUUCUUUCACACAGAGCGAACAGACACUGGAACCUACUUCCUCAAUCUGACUAACAUGCUUCCAGUUAAAAGGCCCACCAGGAAGAGCCCCUGCCCCCAGGCAGCAGGUUCACUGGCCUAAGAGGGCAAAGUGGGCACUUACUCUGGGGGAAAUCACUGUGGUCUGCAGUGCAACCCUUAGCUCUAUGGGCCAGAGGGGAUCCCUUUGGCAAGACUGACUCACACUAAUCAAACUCACCAAGCACCGAUGUAAAAACCAGAAUGCUAUCUUCCUAUUUUGCCGAGAAGCCUGCUUGGCCCACAAGAUGCUUACGUUGGCAGGUGUGGAUGGUCUCUCUUUCCUGCUGGAUGUGGGGAGCGGCUCUGGAAGGAAGACGAAGCUGGUGAAGUUUGAGGCCAGUGGGACGGGGAGGGAGAGAAGCUUCUCACCACAUUCUCAUUGCGACUUUUAACUAGUGGCCCAUGUGCUCAAAGAACAAUUGGUUUUUAAAAAUCCUUUCGGGGGGCACCUGGGUGGCUCAGUCGGUUAAGCGUCCGAUCGGUCAGGUCAUGAUCUCACGGUCCGUGAGUUCGAGCCCCGCGUCGGGCUCUGUGCUGACAGCUCAGAGCCUGGAGCCUGCUUCGGAUUCUGUGUCUCCCUCUCUCUCUGACCCUCCCCCGUUCAUACUCUGUCUCUCUCUGUCUCAAAAAUAAAUAAACAUUAAAAAAAUAAUAAAAUAAA